Long non-coding RNA from Lemur catta (Ring-tailed lemur), 561 nucleotides. RefSeq lists it as uncharacterized. The transcript has 3 exons. The record is from RefSeq and is a predicted model, not a curated record. Lineage: Eukaryota; Metazoa; Chordata; Mammalia; Primates; Lemuridae.
CUCGCCUAGACCCGAGAGGGACGUGCGGUGCACAGCACGAUUCCGUGCGGACAGCUCAUGAACAAAGAUGAGAAACUGGUGGUGUUCACCACUCCGUAUGAAGACUCUGAAAGGUGUGAAAGCCUGGAGCUGGACAGCCAGAUCCGGGCUCUGAUUGAGAGAAAUGCUUCUGGUGCAAAGUGGGUCACCACGGAGGCCGGGCCGAGUAGCAGAAGUUCCUGUUCUGCAAAGGUAAGAGAGAGAAUGCCUUCCUUCCGCUGCGUCUCAAUGUGCCCUUCCAUAGUUUACUCACCGAGAAGAAUCUGUGGGGACAGUCCCCAAAUCAUUUACAGUCAGUCUCGUACUUCCUUGUCGCCCGAAGUGGAGCCCUAUAAACCUUCUCGCACCCAGUCACUUCCUGUCACUAAAGAGCUCCUUCACCACACGGCACCUUCCAGCUGAAAGUGCUCCGGCAGCUGUGACCACAAGAGAACGAGGAAGAGAUCACGCUAUUAGAAAGAAUGUUGAACACAGUGACAACUCUUUCCUCGGGAGGAAGUAACCCAGUUUGAGUAAACCCAU